This 76-nucleotide transfer RNA is filed under the name Lentisphaeria bacterium. RNAcentral describes it as "tRNA-Thr". It matches the Rfam family "tRNA". Rfam says of the family: Transfer RNA (tRNA) molecules are approximately 80 nucleotides in length. Their secondary structure includes four short double-helical elements and three loops (D, anti-codon, and T loops). Further hydrogen bonds mediate the characteristic L-shaped molecular structure. tRNAs have two regions of fundamental functional importance: the anti-codon, which is responsible for specific mRNA codon recognition, and the 3' end, to which the tRNAs corresponding amino acid is attached (by aminoacyl-tRNA synthetases). tRNAs cope with the degeneracy of the genetic code in two manners: having more than one tRNA (with a specific anti-codon) for a particular amino acid; and 'wobble' base-pairing, i.e. permitting non-standard base-pairing at the 3rd anti-codon position. Lineage: Bacteria; Pseudomonadati; Lentisphaerota; Lentisphaeria. The record is from RNAcentral.
GCCCACGUAGCUCAGUUGGUAGAGCGCGUCCUUGGUAAGGACGAGGUCACCGGUUCAAGUCCGGUCGCGGGCUCCA